AUGGGCAUCAAUACGGUCUGCUGCUCUGCCAUGUGGUCCCUCCAUGUAUCCCCCUGGACCUCAGUGGCCAGACGCUUCUUCCACUCCGGCUCAGGACGAUUAAGAUUUCUUGAGGAUAACCUCCCUCAUGGUCCAAAAGCUCUCUUGUCCACGUCUCACAUGGCUACAUGGGAAAAUCAAGUGGGGAUCAGAUUUAGUUGUCUUGAUGGGGAAUCACCCCAACAUGAACUAGGUAAUCAAUCUUUCUCAUGGUUUUCGAUGCAACAAAGGAGGUGUGGUGCCAUCAGUUUGAAGCGGACCAUGCAGUUACAAAAUUGUCGUCGUCAGGAAGGUUGCUGA
This 339-nucleotide ribosomal RNA is filed under the name Triticum aestivum (bread wheat). RNAcentral's name for it is "partial small subunit ribosomal RNA". The record is from RNAcentral. Lineage: Eukaryota; Viridiplantae; Streptophyta; Magnoliopsida; Poales; Poaceae.